This 492-nucleotide ribosomal RNA is filed under the name uncultured bacterium. RNAcentral's name for it is "partial 16S ribosomal RNA". It matches the Rfam family "Bacterial small subunit ribosomal RNA", at positions 29 to 507 of the family's 1533-position model. The record is from RNAcentral.
AUUGAACGCUGGCGGCAUGCUUUACACAUGCAAGUCGAACGGUAACAGGCCUUCGGGUGCUGACGAGUGGCGCACGGGUGAGUAAUGCAUCGGAACGUACCCAGAGGUGGGGGAUAACGCAGCGAAAGCUGUGCUAAUACCGCAUGUGAUCUGAGGAUGAAAGCGGGGGACCGAGCAGCAAUGUUUGGCCUCGCGCCUUUGGAGCGGCCGAUGUCGGAUUAGCUAGUUGGUGGGGUAAAGGCCUACCAAGGCGACGAUCCGUAGCUGGUCUGAGAGGACGACCAGCCACACUGGGACUGGGACACGGCCCAGACUCCUACGGGAGGCAGCAGUGGGGAAUUUUGGACAAUGGGCGCAAGCCUGAUCCAGCAAUGCCGCGUGCGGGAAGAAGGCCUUCGGGUUGUAAACCGCCUUUGGCAGGAACGAAACGGUGUCCGCUAAUACCGGGCGCUAAUGACGGUACCUGCAGAAUAAGCACCGGCUAACUACGUG